RNAcentral lists this ribosomal RNA (115 nucleotides) under Danio rerio (zebrafish). The record is from RNAcentral. Lineage: Eukaryota; Metazoa; Chordata; Actinopteri; Cypriniformes; Danionidae.
UCCGGCAGCUAGCUCUCUGCAACUCUCACAUAGUCUCCCACUGAAGCUAAGCAGGGCUGCGCCCGGUCAGUACCUGGAUGGGAGACCACAUGAGAAAGCUAGGUUGCUGCUGGAA